Molecule: ribosomal RNA, 869 nt
Filed under: uncultured bacterium
Lineage: Bacteria
Description: bacterial SSU rRNA
Rfam family: Bacterial small subunit ribosomal RNA
Source: RNAcentral
GAGUUUGAUCCUGGCUCAGGACGAACGCUAGCGGGAGGCCUAAUACAUGCAAGUUGAACGUGCUGCGAAAGCAGUAACGUAGCGGACGGGUGCGUAGCGCGUAUGGAACCUACCUAUUAGAGGGGGAUAUACUAGGGAAACUUAGGGUAAUACCGCAUAAUAUUUAAGGACCGCAUGGUUUUUAAAAGAAAGGCUACGUGUCGCUAAUAGAUGGUCAUGCGUCCCAUUAGCUAGUUGGUAGUGGUAACGGCCUACCAAGGCGACGAUGGGUAACUGGUCUGAGAGGAUGAUCAGUCACACUGGAACUGAGACACGGUCCAGACUCCUACGGGAGGCAGCAGUAGGGAAUAUUGGGCAAUGGGCGGAAGCCUGACCCAGCCAUCCCGCGUGCAGGAAGAAGGUUCUCUGAAUUGUAAACUGCUUUUUUAUCUGACUAAGGUAGUAUAUAGGAUAUGCUAAUUGCAGGUGAGAUAAGAAUAAGCACCGGCUAACUACGUGCCAGCAGCCGCGGUAAUACGUAGGGUGCAAGCGUUGUCCGGAAUUACUGGGUUUAAAGGGUGCGUAGGCGGGCUAUUAAGUGUAAUGUUAAAAGUAUGAGCUUAACUGAUAGCAGGCGUUACAUACUGGUAGUCUAGAAUGAUGGUGAGGCUACUGGAACGAGUGGAGUAGAGGUGAAAUUCGUAGAUAUCACUCAGAACACCGAUUGCGAAAGGCAGGUAGCUAACCAUUGAUUGACGCUGAUGCACGAAAGCGUGGGGAUCAAACAGGAUUAGAUACCCUGGUAGUCCACGCUGUAAACGUUGGUUACUAGACGUUCGGUAGAUAGGUACUGAGUGUUUAAGCGCAAGCGANAGUAACCCACCUGGGGG